RNAcentral lists this long non-coding RNA (1342 nucleotides) under Crocodylus porosus (Australian saltwater crocodile). RNAcentral's name for it is "lncRNA (ENSCPRG00005007788.1)". Lineage: Eukaryota; Metazoa; Chordata; Crocodylia; Crocodylidae. The record is from RNAcentral.
CUGUACCUUACUUCUAGAAGGCACUUCUUUGAUGUCAGCUUGCAGCCAGAUCCUGUUAGGCCUUUGUCUGCCUUUGAGUCCUCUUCUCUCAAAAGCCUUGUCCUCAGAGUGUGUACUUGUAGCCCAUGAUCAAGCCACCUAUUAAAUUUGUUCUUUGUUAAACUUAAAUAGGUUGUUUCUCUUGCCUUUUUACUGGAGGUUAGGUUGUCCAGACCUCAGAGAUUUUUAUCUCCUUUCUCUAAACCAUUUCAAUGUGUCAAGGUUUAUUUUUAAAGAGAGGAUACCAGAACUGGACACAGUGUUUCAGUAAUGGUUUCAAAGUAGGGUUUUUUAUAAGGCCCAUCAACUUUUUCUUGAUAUUUCUCUGCCUUUGCCACCUCUGCCGCCACAUUGUGCUUGUCAGUCCUGUUCAGUUGACACCACCCCCAGUCCCAUUCUGAGCAGUUAUUUUACAGUCUAGUGCCCCCUCCUAUCAGUGUGGCCUAUGCUGUCUGUUCCUAGAUGUAUCUCUUUGUAUUUAGCUGUCUUACUCUAGACUGUUACCUUGUUCACUGCAUGCUGGUGUGGGGAGAGAUGCCUGCCAAUUGAGAUGGGGCUCAGGCAGAUGUUUGAAGUGGAGAAUUUCCACCUUCCUUCCUCUUCCCACUCCCCUCUCGGUGUCAGGCUCCAGAGUUCCCUUACUGAACAGUUUGACUUUGCAGAAUAAUACCAAGUAUCAUUGUAGGAUCCCUGUUUGCACCAAAGGGGCUUGAGCCAACUUGCUUCAUCUCAAAGAGAAAUGGCCUGGAGGUGUUGUGUGCCAGAAUAAGCCUGGGGGCUCCAGAAGUUUUAAUGUUAAGAUGCAGAGCUGGAGUGGCAGCAGAUUCGGACGCAGACAGAGAAUACAGGUUUGCUUUGGGACACACUUCUGUUGGAUUUAAUACCUGCCCUGCUAGCAACAACUUUCAGCUAUGGAAUCGAGAUGAGGAGGUGGCUGCAGAAGGAGCCAGGAAGGCUGGUGCGAUUGAGCUGCGCUGUCUGCCGCAGCGGAGGAGGAACACCCCUUCCCUUUCCACAUGGGACCUGGGGGCAGAGAUUGAACCUGCUGCGUAUGGAUGAAUUGCAAAUCAGUUUGGAACUACAGUAUAAGCAUUUUUCCAGGAUGAAAGCUGACUCCAUUCAGAGCACCAGACUUCAUGCAAUACCAUGUAAUGUAGCAUUGUGAGGUGUUGGCUAGAUUUUUUUUCAGUUUACUGUACAUAUAUUCCUGUAUCCUGUCUCAGAAAUAGCUGUACCUUUUUACUUGCAAGCAUUUUUUGCUGAAAAAAAUAAAUCUGUGUCCUUUUGGAGAAUUGUCCUUGUU